CUAACUUCGUCUUCCAUUUUAUGUAGGAUGCUAAUCUAGAGCUGCCACAGAGAAUCGUACUUCAAUGUUGGCUUCAUGGAUCCAUCACUUGUUAACCAAAAGCAGAUACGGGAUUAGCUAGACAAAACAUUGGAGGCAGUAUACAAUUUCAUGGACAAACAACAUUACAAGAGUUACAUACUACUGCCAUACAACUUUGAUUUCCACUGGAUCCUCAUAAUAAUUGAGAUUGAUAGAAGCCACGUCAUUGUGUUCGAUUCGUUGAGGAAACCACCGAAGAAGUACCAGGACAUUCAAGGCAUGAUAAACUCCGUAUGGAAAUUAUUCCUUACGAAACACCAUGGUCCAUUCAGAGAAAAACUUUCAUUCAGAACAGACUUCUCGGUAGUGUUUAAGGCAGGAAUCCGGGAAUAAUCUAUGUGGAUAUUACGACUGUGAGCACCUGCACAAUUUUGUGGGACCCAAGGUGCUGACGUAGCAUGAUAUGAAAAUGUGGAAUAUUCAACAUAGCAUCUUGGAGAAGGAGAGAAUAGGGGCAAUAUGUGAAGGAUUCCUAGUGGACCGGGUGAUAAAUCCAGAGGGAGAAUUUCAUUACAAUGGACAUUUAGUAGACGCACCGAGCAACACCACGAAAGUGGAUCCUAGGAAUGAAGUGGACAAAUUUUUGUAUAUAUAGUAAUUGUAUAAAUACUAGUUUGAUUUGUAUAAUACGCUAAUAAUUGUAUAUACAUAUAUAUACA
Setaria italica (foxtail millet) is the source of this 740-nucleotide long non-coding RNA. RefSeq lists it as uncharacterized. The transcript is spliced from 5 exons. Lineage: Eukaryota; Viridiplantae; Streptophyta; Magnoliopsida; Poales; Poaceae. The record is from RefSeq and is a predicted model, not a curated record.